This 408-nucleotide ribosomal RNA is filed under the name Fusobacteriota bacterium. RNAcentral describes it as "Fusobacteria bacterium partial 16S ribosomal RNA". It matches the Rfam family "Bacterial small subunit ribosomal RNA", at positions 355 to 776 of the family's 1533-position model. The record is from RNAcentral. Lineage: Bacteria; Fusobacteriati; Fusobacteriota.
UGGGGAAUAUUGCACAAUGGCCGGAAGUCUGAUGCAGCAACGCCGCGUGCGGGAUGACGGCCUUCGGGUUGUAAACCGCUUUUUCUCAUGACGAAGUUUUUUGACGGUAGUGGGGGAAGAAGCACCGGCUCACUACGUGCCAGCCGCCGCGGUGAUACGCAGGGUGCGAGCGUUGUCCGGAAUUAUUGGGCGUAAAGAGCUUGGAGUCGGUUUGUCGCGUCGAUAGUGCAAACUCAGUGCUUAACGCUGAGGCGGCUGUUGAUACGGGCAGACUAGAGGAAGGGAGGGGAGAAUGGAAUUCCCGGUGGAGCGGUGGAAUGCGCAGAGAUCGGGAGGAACAACGGGGGCGAAGGCGGUGCUCUGGGUCUUUCCUGACGCUGAGAAGCGAAAGCGUGGGGAGCGAACAGG